GAACGCUGGCGGCGUGCCUAACACAUGCAAGUCGAACGGAGAUUAGACGCUGAUGAGGCUUCGGCGGAAUCUUGUUUAAUCUUAGUGGCGGACGGGUGAGUAACGCGUGGGCAACCUGCCUCAUACUGGGGGAUAGCAGUUGGAAACGACUGAUAAUACCGCAUAAGCGCACGAGAUCGCAUGAUCUUGUGUGAAAAACUCCGGUGGUAUGAGAUGGGCCCGCGUCAGAUUAGCUAGUUGGUGAGGUAACGGCCCACCAAGGCGACGAUCUGUAGCCGGACUGAGAGGUCGGACGGCCACAUUGGGACUGAGACACGGCCCAAACUCCUACGGGAGGCAGCAGUGGGGGAUAUUGCACAAUGGAGGAAACUCUGAUGCAGCGACGCCGCGUGGGUGAAGAAGUAUUUCGGUAUGUAAAGCUCUAUCAGCAGGGAAGAAAGGCCCGCAAGGGAGAUGACGGUACCUGACUAAGAAGCCCCGGCUAACUACGUGCCAGCAGCAGC
RNAcentral lists this ribosomal RNA (503 nucleotides) under uncultured bacterium. RNAcentral describes it as "bacterial SSU rRNA". It matches the Rfam family "Bacterial small subunit ribosomal RNA", at positions 31 to 518 of the family's 1533-position model. The record is from RNAcentral.